GAUGAACGCUAGCGACAGGCUUAACACAUGCAAGUCGAGGGGCAGCGGGGUGUGGCAACACACUGCCGGCGACCGGCGCGCGGGUGAGUAACGCGUAUGCAACUUGCCUAUCAGAGGGGGAUAACCCGGCGAAAGUCGGACUAAUACCGCAUAAAACAGGGGUUCCGCAGGGGGAUAUCUGUGAAAGAUUCAUAGCUGAUAGAUAGGCAUGCGUUCCAUUAGGCAGUUGGCGGGGUAACGGCCAACCAAACCGACGGUGGAUAGGGGUUCUGAGAGGAAGGUCCCCCACAUUGGUACUGAGACACGGACCAAACUCCUACGGGAGGCAGCAGUGAGGAAUAUUGGUCAAUGGCCGGGAGGCUGAACCAGCCAAGUCGCGUGAAGGAUGAAGGUUCUAUGGAUUGUAAACUUCUUUUGUGCGGGAAUAAAGUCGGGGAUGCGUCCCCGUUUGCAUGUACCGUACGAAUAAGCAUCGGCUAACUCCGUGCCAGCCGCCGCCGUAA
RNAcentral lists this ribosomal RNA (503 nucleotides) under uncultured bacterium. RNAcentral's name for it is "partial 16S ribosomal RNA". It matches the Rfam family "Bacterial small subunit ribosomal RNA", at positions 28 to 523 of the family's 1533-position model. The record is from RNAcentral.